CGACAUGCUUGCAAUGUCAAGUGCCUCAAGUGUGGGAAGUGGGGAAGCAACAACGCGCGUGCUCAGAGUCUUUGAUAAUGACAGUGGAUGUCACAAAUUUGAUGCCGUGUGGGGCUGAUUGGCUGUUUACCAGGUAGUUUUCUGUAGUUGACGGAAGUUUCUCUCAAAGAGCAAAACGGUGUUUAUUUCAGAGAAUACAGUAACUGCGGUUACCAUGGACAAUGUGGAAAAUGUUAUGUUAAACACCUCGGUGCCCACCAGACGCCGGAUAUUUUGUUAAACCAAACCGUUGGUCAAAUAUAACGGGAGUGGUUCUUCCGGGAACGGCUAACUGCUAGCUUGUCAGGAGACUCUUCGUUGCUUUCCCUGUGUGUUCAGAGGAGAUUCACCUGGUCAAAAACAAAUUGACAGCCCAUACAAACGGGGAAUUGAACAGUAACAUGUGGAGGAGAAGAACAGUGAGUCAUCCUCCCAAGGUCAGCAAAUGGCCACCCUGUUUACUGAGCUUUCGUGCCCACCAAGGGUUCUCGAUCCUGGCUUCCACUCCAACCCCUGUGGUUCAGUUAUCUGCACGCCAGCACCAGAGGGCAGCUGCAUCGAGGCUUGCAUCAGGUGACCCAUGCUAAAAGGUGAAGCAGACGUGCGUGGACAAUCGGAUCAAACGGAUGCACUGAUUUUGACUGGAGGGAAGAGCCGCAGUUACUCACGGGGAUGUGCUGAUGCUGUGCCGAGUGAGGCGACCGGUGGAGGUAGGAUAUGAGUUACUUUGUGAGUGGCAGAAGAGAGGGGGAGUGGUGUCAUGAGGAAAGAUGUUUCUGAUUUACCCUCGCCUUCCC
Molecule: long non-coding RNA, 836 nt
Filed under: Cottoperca gobio
Lineage: Eukaryota; Metazoa; Chordata; Actinopteri; Perciformes; Bovichtidae
Description: lncRNA (ENSCGOG00000024387.1)
Source: RNAcentral